ACUCAAAUGAAUUGACGGGGACCCGCACAAGCGGUGGAUGAUGUGGAUUAAUUCGAUGCAACGCGAAGAACCUUACCUACCCUUGACAUGUCACUAACGAAACAGAGAUGUAUUAGGUGCCCGAAAGGGAAAGUGAACACAGGUGCUGCAUGGCUGUCGUCAGCUCGUGUCGUGAGAUGUUGGGUUAAGUCCCGCAACGAGCGCAACCCUUGUCAUUAGUUGCUACGGAUAGAGCACUCUAAUGAGACUGCUGGUGAUAAACCGGAGGAAGGUGGGGAUGACGUCAAGUCCUCAUGGCCCUUAUGGGUAGGGCUUCACACGUCAUACAAUGGUCGGUACAGAGGGUCGCCAACCCGCGAGGGGGAGCUAAUCUCACAAAGCCGAUCGUAGUCCGGAUUGUAGUCUGCAACUCGACUACAUGAAGUCGGAAUCGCUAGUAAUCGCAGAUCAGCAUGUUGCGGUGAAUACGUUCCCGGGUCUUGCACACACCGCCCGU
This 496-nucleotide ribosomal RNA is filed under the name uncultured bacterium. RNAcentral describes it as "partial 16S ribosomal RNA". It matches the Rfam family "Bacterial small subunit ribosomal RNA", at positions 899 to 1397 of the family's 1533-position model. The record is from RNAcentral.